CCUACGGGAGGCAGCAGUGGGGAAUCUUGGACAAUGGAGGCAACUCUGACCCAGCAACGCCGCGUGAAGGAAGAAGGCCUUAGGGUUGUAAACUUAUGUUGUAAAGGAAGAAAAGAAUGACGGUACUUUACAAUAAAUCCCAGGCUAACUAUGUGCCAGCAGCCGCGGUAAGACAUAGGGGGCAAGCGUUGUUCGGAAUUACUGGGCGUAAAGGGAGCGUAGGCGGGGGAUUAAGUUAGGUGUGAAAGCCUUGGGCUCAACCCAAGAAAUGCUCUUAAUACUGGUUUGCUAGAGUGCGGGAGAGGUAAGUGGAAGUCCUUGUGUAGCGGUAGAAUGCGUAGAGAUUAGGAGGAACAUCAGAGGCGAAGGCGGCUUACUGGACCAUAACUGACGCUGAGGCUCGAAAGCGUGGGGAGCAAACAGGAUUAGAUACCCUGGUAGUC
Molecule: ribosomal RNA, 443 nt
Filed under: uncultured bacterium
Lineage: Bacteria
Description: partial 16S ribosomal RNA
Rfam family: Bacterial small subunit ribosomal RNA
Source: RNAcentral